This 283-nucleotide signal recognition particle RNA is filed under the name Saimiri boliviensis boliviensis (Bolivian squirrel monkey). RNAcentral's name for it is "Metazoan signal recognition particle RNA (ENSSBOG00000014280.1)". It matches the Rfam family "Metazoan signal recognition particle RNA". Rfam says of the family: The signal recognition particle (SRP) is a universally conserved ribonucleoprotein. It is involved in the co-translational targeting of proteins to membranes. Lineage: Eukaryota; Metazoa; Chordata; Mammalia; Primates; Cebidae. The record is from RNAcentral.
GCCGGGUGCGGUGGUGUGUGCCUGUAGUCCCAGCUACUCAGGAGGUUGAGGUGGGAGGAUCGCUUGAGUCCAGGAGUUCUGGGCUGUGGUGUGCUAUGCCGAUCGGGUGUCCGCACUGAGUUCAGCAUCAAUGUGGUGACCCCUUGGGAGUGGGGGACCACCAGGUUGCCUAAGGAGGGGUGAACCUUAGUAGGUUCAAAACUCUGUGCUGCUCAGUAGUGGGAUCCCGCCUGUGAAUAGCCACUGCACUCCAGACUGGGCAACAAAGUGAGACCCCAUCUCA